AGACGCUUCAAAGAUGGGUCUUUUUCCAUCACUAAUGAUAAAAUGGAGGACAGACUCUGAUCAUGACUUUUAAAAGGAUUAUGACGAAAAGUGAAAGCCCUUUUUAACUAAGGCCGAAGCGUGGCUGUUGGCUUCUCCUGCUUAUGCAGUGCGGCCUGUGUUGGCCUGAGAUGUGAACAGGACAUCGAUGACUGCAACCUGAAUGCCUGUGAGCACACUUCUGCCUGCAAAGAUCUGUAUCUCCCAAGAGCCAAAGAGGAAACCCUCUGGAGAAGACCCCCUUGAAAACGGUCUGCCAUCUUUCUUCCAUUUCAUUGGAUCCCACUGCCUUGAGGCAGUAGAAUAAAGUGGCUAAGAACUGGGGUCUGAAGCCUGACUACUGUAUUCACCUGGUGGCUCAACCAUCUGUAAGCUCUAUAACUUUGGGCUAACUAUGGCAUUCUUCUGUGCUUCAGUUUCCUGAGCAAUGUGAGGAAAUCUAUGGGCACAGUAAUGGAAGGAAUUGCUAUUUUUGCGAGGUGAUGAGGAAAAGUUAAAAGGUGAAAUUUAAGUAAAGAUCUGAAAAAAGCAAGAGAGGGAAUGUGCCGUCUGGAUAUCUCUGGGAGAAUGGUCAAGGUGAAGGGAAGAGCAUGUGUCAAAUUCCUAAAGGAAGAGUUUGUUUGGCCUGGCAAGAAAUAGAAAUGGAGGUGACCGCGGCUGGACUGGAAAAAUGUGGUCAAGAAUAGAUGACUUCAAAAAGGAGGUGUGGAGGCAGAUGAUGACAGACCUGGUAGGCUGUCAUCAAGACUGUUUUUGACUCUGAAAGAGGGGAGAAGUCAAUGAAGGACUUUGAAUAGAAGUGUGAUAAAAUCUGACUAAAAUUCUCUCUUUUCCUGGGGUUUAAUUCUUCCUUUCCUCUACCACAUUGCAUUCUACUUCAGUGGGUUUACCCAUCCUUGUUCCUCAUGCAAGAUUCUUGACGGCCAGGGCCAUUCAUUAUUCAUCUUGGAAUCUACAGAUUCUAGUACACUGCCUGCACUAAAAUAGAUGCUCAAUAAUUAUGUGCUGAAGGAAUGAAUUGCAACAAGGAGAAAAAUACAGCCCUGAAUUAGUCAGCUGAGCGCAGUAGAAAGAGCUGUGUUCCGAAAUUCAGUAGAUUUGGAGUUUUUUUUCUCAGAAACACUGCCUUUGUGACCUUGGGACAAUUCUGUAAUUAUUGACUCAUUCUUCAAACCUUUUUGAUUUAAUUCUACUAACAAGGUAUUGCAUCUCUUAAAUUACGUGGGUCUUGGUUUCCUUGUUUUUACAAUGGAAGCUGCACUCACCUGUAAAUUCCUGUUCUCUUUCAAGACAUCCAGUUCUAAAUUAAGGGUGUUGUGAGCCUCAAGGAAUUUUUGUCUUAACUCACUCAAAUGGACCAUUUCCCAGGUAUGUUUUAAUGAAACUGAAGACUAGAAACUAUCUCCCAACUAUUAAAGCCUGAGGCCUAUUGAGAAGUCAUUAGUUUUAUACAACUUUAAAACGCUUCCUCCCAUUCCGUUUGACAUUGCUAAUGAUCUUGAAUCUACUUUUCCCCUUGAUAUUCUUAUAUUGUCUAAUUCAUAAAACUUAACAAAGCAUAUACUACACAUAAACCUACAUCACUCUUCAAUAUAAAGGAGAUAGGGACACAUUAAAAUACAUGCAUUAAUGCAGCUGCAUAAAAGCAACUGUAUUAGUUACCAUCAGACAUGCCGUAAUAAGAAUUCAGCCACUAAUUAUUGAAAUAUGCAUUUAAUAAUUCAUGUUUCAUUAAUAAUGUACCAUAAAAAUACAGCAUAUAAAGGAAUCUGUGAUAUAUUUAUUGUGGCAUUCUGGAAAAUUAUCUUGAGGCUACAGACUAAUUUAAAAUAUGAUCAUUCUUAUCGCACAUUCUAGGCCAUUUCAUGAAGCAGCCAUAUAUUCUAUUCAUGACCGAGCAUUAACUUGGCUCCUCUGAAAUUUUUCUGCACUAUGUUUAGUGCCUUGAGGGAGUAAGGUGGGAUUUAAAUGAAGAUCAUUUCUCCAUAAGCAUUGCACAUUACUGUAGCAUGUUGAAAUAAUACUAAAUUUAGCAUUGCUGUAUUUUAUGUGGAGGAAAAGAAUAAGCUUGCAGCAUAUUUUUCUAUUAUUGCCCAUCCCAGGGUGGAAAGUCUCUCUAUAUUUUUAAUUAUAGCCAUGGAAGACUAAACAUGAGAUGUCGUUUAUUUCACUUGAAGGAUUUUCUACUAUAUACGAUCACUUGGGACAACAGGGUUUGGUGGUGUCCCUGAGGACUGUGUGGUUCUGAUUGUGAUGACAUCUCAAAGUAACGUCCAAAAUGUUGUUUAUGUCAUCAGAUACUGAAAAUAGUUUGCUAUGGCCCAAGGCAUGGCAGCUUUAGGGAAUUUUCAAAGUUGUCAUCCAUGUUUGUUAAUUAAUCGAGGUAAUAGUGUAUCUUUGAAAAUAUUCCUUAUUGUUCAGGUGACUAUAUUGCUUAAAUAUAUUUGUAUUGCAUAACAAAAGUAGUCCUUAAUUUUGAUUAUAUAACUUAACAAUAACUAUUUUGCUCAGCUUUUUGCCUCCACUGUUGUAAUUGAGUAUGUAGGACCUUCCUGGCAACAACUGAUCUUUGCUUUUUCUCCUCACUCUUGGCUAUAGUCAGAUGCUUCCAAGGACCAUGCCCUCAUCUAGCUGCCCUUGGAAACCUUGAAGAGCAUCCAGUCAGAGCCAAUGUCUGUCUUUAUGCUCCUUCCAAAUAAUUAAUUUCUCGUAUUUUUCUGCUUUCUUUGCCUUACCUCUCCAACACUUGGUGGUAAUUUCUUUUGGGGUGGUAGGGUUUCUACCUCAAUUGUGGGAGAUACAUUGCUUUUAUUUUUACUUCUGUUCUUUACUUUAAUGGUAAGAUCAUAAGAUCCCAUAAGGCAAAAUGCGGUCCCUCAACCUGCAGCAUCAGCAUCACCUGGGAACGUUUUAGAAAUGCAGAAUCUCAGGCCCCAUCUCAGACCUAUCGAAUGGGAAAGUCUGGACUGGGACCCAAAAACCUUAAUGAGGUUUCCACAGAAUUCUAAUCACACUGGAGUUUAAGAAUCAUAGCCAUAAGGCUUUGGUAUUAUCUAGGAUUUUGAAUUUCUUCUUCCAACUAUAGUGGGUUUGGCCUUGAUUUCUCCCUUUGCAUAUGUCCUAGUUUGAGUUUGGUUUCCUGCUUCUGAGUCGUCUUCUCACCCAGAACACCACAGUGGGUGGCAAGCCUGGAUUCUUUGCUACCAAAUAUUGUCCAUAAUGAACUCCCUUCACUAUUCUAUACUACUGGUCAAGAUGACUUUUAAAGUAGGUGCUUUCAUAGGACCUUGAAUUAAUUCUCAUGGGACAGCUUCUCAAUCUUUCCCAGGUAGGGCCCAGAGAGACAUCUCUUAUUUACGAACUGUCUUUUUAAAUUCUUAACCCAAAUAGACAAAGAAAAAUAGUACAAAGUGUAACGUAUCUCCCAAUCGGAUUAACUCUAUUGAAUAUAAUUAGGAAAGUCAUUGUGAUUCCUCUUCUUUUCCAAAGAAAAUAGUCACCUGGCUCUACCUAAGUCAGUCCUGCCAAGUUCACCACAACUGGAGGACUUGUGCUAUUAAUUAGUAUACCAGUAUAAUUUUAUUUACGUAGAUGGGGAAAUUUACUUUCGUCUCAUUUUAAGCUCACGUUGCCUAUUUCAAACCAUUAUUGAAACAUGUUAGUGACAGAAUCAUAGCUCUCUUUUGUGUCUACAUGAGUAGAGAUGGAUUUCAUAAUUUGUAAUAAAUACUAGUUGAUAAAGAUGGUUAUGCUGAAAAUAGGGCUUUGCACUAUAGGAUAGGCCAAUGCUAUAAAAUUAUAAGCCAUGCCACUUUGAGCAUGCCUCAUUUUGUAUUCAUCAUAUGUUAAUUUUUAAAUCUCUUCCACAAAAAUGUCCCCCCAAAGCAACUGUUCAGCGUCCGAGUUGACAGCUUCUU
Equus caballus (horse) is the source of this 3956-nucleotide non-coding RNA. The record is from RefSeq and is a predicted model, not a curated record. NCBI's taxonomy places the organism in Eukaryota, Metazoa, Chordata, Mammalia, Perissodactyla, Equidae.